RNAcentral lists this small RNA (124 nucleotides) under Aliiroseovarius crassostreae. RNAcentral describes it as "Roseovarius crassostreae Alphaproteobacterial ar14". It matches the Rfam family "Alphaproteobacterial ar14". From Rfam's summary of the family: Smr14C2 was renamed NfeR1 (Nodule Formation Efficiency RNA) highly expressed in salt stress and during the symbiotic interaction on legume roots. The record is from Rfam by way of RNAcentral. Lineage: Bacteria; Pseudomonadati; Pseudomonadota; Alphaproteobacteria; Rhodobacterales; Paracoccaceae.
AAAAUUGCAGACGGGUCGCUCCUCCCUGACCCGGACGCAGCUGAGCCGGCUUUCUCCUCCUCCCUGAGAGCCGCGCCACAGAAAGAACGGCGAUGCCCCUCCUCCCUGGCAUCGCCGUUUUUUU